CUGUAAAAUAAGGAGGGUAGACUAGAUGAGCUAUGAUUUUUUUUUUUUUGAGACAGAGUCUUGCUCUGUCGCCCAGGCUGGAGUGCAAUGGUGUGAUCUUGGCUCACUGCAACCUCCGCCUCCCAGGCUCAAGCGAUUCUCCUGCCUUAGCCUCCUGAGUAGCUGGGAUUACAGGCAAGCACCACCGCAUCCGGCUAAUUUUGUAUUUUUAGUAGAGACGUGGUUUUACCAUGUUGGCCAGGCUGGUCUUGAACUCCUGACCUCAGGUGAUCCACCCACCUCGGCCUCACAAAGUGCUGGGAUUACAGGCGUGAACCACCGUGCCCGGCCUGAUGAGCUAUGAUGUUGUAAGAUUCUCU
RNAcentral lists this long non-coding RNA (359 nucleotides) under Homo sapiens (human). RNAcentral describes it as "non-protein coding lnc-NDUFB8-7:1". Lineage: Eukaryota; Metazoa; Chordata; Mammalia; Primates; Hominidae. The record is from RNAcentral.